RNAcentral lists this ribosomal RNA (565 nucleotides) under uncultured Glomeromycotina. RNAcentral describes it as "SSU rRNA". It matches the Rfam family "Eukaryotic small subunit ribosomal RNA", at positions 548 to 1114 of the family's 1831-position model. The record is from RNAcentral. Lineage: Eukaryota; Fungi; Glomeromycota.
UUGGAGGGCAAGUCUGGUGCCAGCAGCCGCGGUAAUUCCAGCUCCAAUAGCGUAUAUUAAAGUUGUUGCAGUUAAAAAGCUCGUAGUUGAAUUUCGGGGUUAGUAGGUUGGUCAUGCCUCUGGUAUGUACUGGUCUCACUGAUUCCUCCUUCCUGAUGAAUCUUAAUGCCAUUAAUUUGGUGUUUUGGGGAAUUUGGACUGUUACUUUGAAAAAAUUAGAGUGUUUAAAGCAAGCUAACGCUUGAAUACAUUAGCAUGGAAUAAUGAAAUAGGACGUUCGAUCCUAUUUUGUUGGUUUCUAGGAUUGACGUAAUGAUUAAUAGGGAUAGUUGGGGGCAUUAGUAUUCAAUUGUCAGAGGUGAAAUUCUUGGAUUUAUUGAAGACUAACUACUGCGAAAGCAUUUGCCAAGGAUGUUUUCAUUAAUCAAGAACGAAAGUUAGGGGAUCGAAGACGAUCAGAUACCGUCGUAGUCUUAACCAUAAACUAUGCCGACUAGGGAUCGGAUGAUGUUAAUUCUUUAAUGACUCAUUCGGCGCCUUACGGGAAACCAAAGUGUUUGGGUUC